RNAcentral lists this long non-coding RNA (603 nucleotides) under Junco hyemalis (dark-eyed junco). Its description in RNAcentral is "lncRNA (ENSJHYG00000003209.1)". Lineage: Eukaryota; Metazoa; Chordata; Aves; Passeriformes; Passerellidae. The record is from RNAcentral.
UAUCCUUCCCCUCAUCCCUUUUUUUUUUCUUUCUUUGAGCAAGCAGAGAAAUUGCCUUUUCCCACCCUGUUUUAAUGACAGGAGCCAUGUGCCCCUUCCUGGAGCAGCUGCCAGAGGCUGUCCUAGUGCAGGAUCACCAGGCCAGCAGACUGACAGAAAAUAUGUAAGUAGGUUACAGGGGGGUGUGGGAGGCUGUUAAACACAGCAGGAUCUGCUGCACAGAGCACCUGUGAGGGGAGAGGCAGACACAGCAACACCUGCACUGCUCUCCUCUAACACAGCCUGGCCCUGCAGCCUGCCUUUGGGCCUGGGCUCCUUUGUAAAGGCUUUGGGGAGUUCAGGCAGACUUCAUCUUUUCUCACACAAUGUGUUUAAAUUUUAGGUUUUUAAGGGUGAUGUUUUGACAUUUCCCUAAAUAGCCUUAUCUUCUGGAGAGUGGUUCCUCUGGCCACCUGGAGAGCAUCUCUGGCAUUUGACUACCUAGAAAAUGGGGAUAAUGCUUGGAGCUGUCAAUGCAGGGACCAUUCACCAGUGCCUGGCAACCUUGCUGAAGUGACUGAAUUAUAUUCCCAUCAGCAGAAAGUAGGAAAUGAGUUACAGUGA